This 279-nucleotide ribosomal RNA is filed under the name uncultured bacterium. RNAcentral's name for it is "partial 16S ribosomal RNA". It matches the Rfam family "Bacterial small subunit ribosomal RNA", at positions 506 to 784 of the family's 1533-position model. The record is from RNAcentral.
UGCCAGCCGCCGCGGUAAUACGGAGGGAUCAAACGUUAAUCGGAAUUACUGGGCGUAAAGCGCGUGUAGGCGGUUCGUUAAGUCUGAUGUGAAAGCCCGGGGCUCAACCCCGGAAGUGCAUUGGAAACUGGCGAACUUGAGUACGGGAGAGGAAAGUGGAAUUCCGAGUGUAGGGGUGAAAUCCGUAGAUAUUCGGAGGAACACCAGUGGCGAAGGCGGCUACCUGGUCCGGAUCUGACGCUGAGGCGCGAAAGCGUGGGGAGCAAACAGGAUUAGAUA